UGAAACAGUCUAAGUACUUAAAUGUUUAUGGUUAUUUAUGAAUUUCAUUUAUUCACAUUAUAUUAUUAUAGUAUUUAAUGCUGAACUUGCACAAAACCCAGGAGUGUAUCUCUGAAUCGUUACCAUUAACAACAGUCAAUGUCGUUUGAUCUACACAGCCCGUUGCUACCACCAUUAAGGCCUCAACUAAUCGAUACUUCAAGCUGAACUCUUGACAAAAUUGGCGCCAAUGUUCCCAAAGUUUAUAAAUGCCAGGUGCUUCUACGCAUAAAAACCCAAGCAAGUAUGUUGUUGUGAAUAGCGCAUAUAUAAACACUGGGCGAGGCAGCCACAAUCUUUUGUCCUCAAAUUAGGGACUACAGUAUUUAAUGCUGAACUUGCACAAAACCCAGGAGUGUAUCUCUGAAUCGUUACCAUUAACAACAGUCAAUGUCGUUUGAUCUACACAGCCCGUUGCUACCACCAUUAAGGCCUCAACUAAUCGAUACUUCAAGCUGAACUCUUGACAAAAUUGGCGCCAUUGUUCCCACAGUUUAUAAAUGCCAGGUGCUUCUACGCAUAAAAACCCAAGCAAGUAUGUUGUUGUGAAUAGCGCAUAUAUAAACACUGGGCGAGGCAGCCACAAUCUUUUGUCCUCAAAUUAGGGACUACAGUAUUUAAUACUGAACUUGCACAAAACCCAGGAGUGUAUCUCUGAAUCGUUACCAUUAACAACAGUCAAUAUCGUUUGAUCUACCGCCCGUUGCUGCCACCGUUAAGGCCUCACCAAAUCAAUACUUCAAGCUGGACUCUUGACAAAAUGGGCGCCACUGUUCCCAAAGUUUAUAAAUGGGAGGUGCCUCAUCGCAAACAAACUUAUACAAUUAAAAUGUUGUGAAUAGAACAUUUACAAACGACGGUUGAAGCAGCCACAAUCUAUCUUCUUCAAAGUAGGGACGACGAGUAAAUUGUAUCACCCGGCUAAUUUUGUUAUUUUAACUUAAUUAAUAAAUUAACCACAAAAUAAAUUUGAAAAUUAAAUUAUUUAAUGCUAAAGGCAAAUUAAUUCGAAACUCAAAA
Acyrthosiphon pisum (pea aphid) is the source of this 1059-nucleotide long non-coding RNA. RefSeq lists it as uncharacterized. Lineage: Eukaryota; Metazoa; Arthropoda; Insecta; Hemiptera; Aphididae. The record is from RefSeq and is a predicted model, not a curated record. The transcript is spliced from 3 exons.